RNAcentral lists this ribosomal RNA (177 nucleotides) under uncultured bacterium. RNAcentral describes it as "partial 16S ribosomal RNA". It matches the Rfam family "Bacterial small subunit ribosomal RNA", at positions 335 to 524 of the family's 1533-position model. The record is from RNAcentral.
ACUCCUACGGGAGGCAGCAGUGGGGAAUAUUGCACAAUGGGCGAAAGCCUGAUGCAGCGACGCCGCGUGAGGGAUGAAGGCCUUCGGGUUGUAAACCUCUUUCGCCAGGGAAGAAGCGAGAGUGACGGUACCUGGAGAAGAAGCACCGGCUAACUACGUGCCAGCAGCCGCGGUAAU